GAGUUUGGAAUCAUACGCUAUUAGGCGGAUGACUUGGCUCCAGUCGCUGAAGAAGGACGUGACAAGCAACGAUAUGCCAUGGGAAGGCGCAUGUAGCCAUUGAACCAUGGAUUUCCUAAUGUGACUUCACCUAGCACUCCGUAAGGAGGGGGAACUCGGGGAAUUGAAACGUCUUAGUACCCGUAGGAAAAGAAAUCAAUUGAGAUGCUGCCAGUAAGAGCGACUGAACACAGCAGAGGGCAAACUGAAUCCUGCCAGCAAUGGUAAGGAGAUGUGGUGUUUUAAGACCUUCUUUUAAUCCUUGAGCCUGACCAGAAGUUUUCUGGAAAGGAAUGCCAUAGAGGGUGAUAGCCCCGUAAGGGAAAGGCAAGAGGAUGUGAAGAGUUCUUGAGUACUGCUUAUCGGAUAUUAAGCAGGAAUUUGGGAGGUAUUAACUUCCAACCCUAAAUACGUCUGGAGACCGAUAGAGGAUAAGUACCGUGAGGGAAAGUUGAAAAGAACCCUUAACAGGGAGUAAAAAGAUCCUGAAACCUAAUAGCUAUUUUAGAGAUAGGGCGCUAAGGCGUUCUAUCGUUCGUUUCGAAUAACGUGCCAGGGAGUGCAUUUAAGUGGCGAGGGUAAUUCCAAAAGAAGGACCCGAAGCGAAAGCGACAUGCCCGCAAGCAAUUAGGGGCGGCGUAUGAAAAUGCGUGGAGUCACUUAGGUGCGACCCGAAGCCUGACGAUCUAGCCCUUGGUAGGGUGAAGUGCGGGUAAAACCGUGUGGAGGCCCGAAGAGGUUCUACGUGCAAGUGUUCUUCUAACCUGGGGCUAGGGGUGAAAAGCCAAUCGAGUCAGGCGAUAGCUGGUUCCUACCGAAGUUGGCCGCAGUCAAGUGCCAAAGGAGAUAGCUUGAAUGGUAGAGAUACGGAUCAGGGAUUUAGGUCUCGAAAGGGAUCGGUUCCUUGUCCAACUCCGAAUGUUCAAGCGUCGUAGAUAUUGGUAAACGGGGGUCCGGGGUAAGCUUGGGCCUCGAAAGGGGAACAGCCCAGACUGCAGUUAAGGCCCCAAAAUGCUGAUUGAGUGUUAAAGGGUAAAAGGUGUUUAUUCUCCAAGACAGCGAGGAGGUUGGCUUAGAAGCAGCCACCCUUUAAAAAGUGUGUAACAACUUACUCGUCAAGAGAAUAAGCCCUGAAAAUGGACGGGGCUAAAUCAGCUGCCGAUACUGCAGACGUUCAACAAGAACAGUGGUAGGUAUGGCGACUUGUGAGGGUAGAAGUGUCCUCGAAAGAGGGCAUGGACCUUGUAAGUAUGAGAAUCCUGGCGGUAGUAAGAUCUGAGCAGAGUGAGAGUCUCUGCCACCGAAAGGGCAAGGGUUCCUUGACAAUGUAGAUCAGUCAAGGGUAAGUUGGUCCUAACUGUGCCCAGAAAAUGGAGCACGGGAAAGGGAAACAGGUUAAUAUUCCUGUACUAUGCGCGUACACGCGGUAACGCAGGCCUUGUUUCUGACGCUUUGGGCUAGGCUGACACAAAUAGUCGUUUGUGUUAAUCAGCAUAUAUCAGGGGAGUAUCGUAACGAUGAGAACCUGAUUAAAGCUGAGAACAGCAGUGCUUUGCAUUGUUCAGCUAAUGCCUGGAGCUCGUAAAAAAGGAACAGGGAUGGAUCGUGCAUAACCAUACCCAGAACCAGCACUGGUGCCCCUUGGUGAGAAGCCUAAGGUGUGAUGGAUUAAUCCGUUCGAGGGAACUCGGCAUAUUGGCCCCGUAUCUUUGGUAUAAGGGGUCCCUGCUUUUGUGUAUUAUGUAUGCGAACGCAGGGUUCAAUAACUAGGAUGGUCGGACUGUUUAACAAAAACUUAACCUUGUGCGAAGCUGUAAAGCUGUGUAUACAAGGUGACGUCUGCCCAGUGCCAGUACUUCAAACCCGGGUUCAACCGGGCUAAGAGCUGGUAAACGGCGGGAGUAACUAUAACUCUCUUAAGGUAGCGUAAUACCUUGCCGAUUGAAUGUCGGCUUGCAUGAGUGGCGUAACUAGAUCAUCACUGUCCCCGGACGGACUCCACCGAACUCCAUGUCUGGUGCAAAUUCCAGAGAUUUCCAGUGGGAAGCGAAGACCCCGUGAAACUUUACUGUAGCCUGUAGCUGCAACGUGAACCCUGAUGUGUAGGGUAGCUAGUAGUCGCUAAAGCGUAGUCGCUAGAUUACGUGUAGACGCAAAUGAAACACUAGUCUUUAGGGUUUACGCUGCUAACCUCGAAAGAGGGACAGCUAUUGGUGGACAGUUUGGCUGGGGUGGCACGCUGUUGAAAUGGUAUCAACAGCGCCCAAAGUUCGGCUCAGAUGGGUCAGAAAUCCAUCGUAGAGUGUAAGGGCAAAAGCCGGACUGAUAGGAAUGUGAACAAUAAGCAAUCCUAACACGAAAGUGAAAAGUUACUCCGGGGAUAACAGAGUUGUCGCGCCCGAGAGCUCAUAUCGACGGCGCGGCUUGCUACAUCGAUGUCGGCUCUUCCUAUCCUGGCCGUGCAGAAGCGGCCAAGGGUGGGGGUGUUCACCCGUUAAAAGGGAUCGUGAGCUGGGUUCAGAACGUUGUGAGACAGUUUGUUUGAUAUCUACUGGAAAUGUUGGUGUCUGAGCGGAAGGAGUAUCUAGUACGAGAGGAACGGUACUUCGAAGCCUCUGGUAGACCGGUUGUCUGACAAGGCAUGCCGGGCAGCUACGCUUUACGGGAUAAGGGCUGAAAGCAUCUAAGCCCGAAACCCCCCGUGAAAAUAGACACCGUAGAACAUGAGUACAACACUCGCUUGAUGGGACAGAUGUGUAAGCACCAAGGUAACGAGGUGUUCAGCAUGCUGUUACCAAUAGUUCAUACCUUCCAAUACU
RNAcentral lists this ribosomal RNA (2858 nucleotides) under Candidatus Woesearchaeota archaeon. RNAcentral's name for it is "23S ribosomal RNA". It matches the Rfam family "Archaeal large subunit ribosomal RNA". Lineage: Archaea; Nanobdellati; Candidatus Woesearchaeota. The record is from RNAcentral.